AUGGACGUGGAAAUCUAUCGCUUCAAGAAAUGGACAAAUUACAUAUUUUGGUACCAGAAUCGCUGUUUUGAAAUCAAGGGCCUGUGGCUUCACUAUUACUGGGACACGGAUGACAUUGGCAACGUCAUACGUGGCAGCAUGAAUCUCAAGAAUGCCACAGCACGGAGGAUCAAUGAGAAAUAUCUGCAUUUGUCUAAUCAUAAUGUAAUAUACUACCUCAAGUCAGACAGUAAGAAGGACAUGGAUAUCUUUGUCAGGAGGCUUAAGGAAUUAAAUGUCAUCAUCACUGACAGCUAGUGGAGAAGCAUCUUGUGCUUAACAAUGUGUUAAUUUUUUUUUCGUUGUGAAAAAAUAUUUUCAUGAGAAAGGCUAUAUGUAUAUCCAUUGCCAGUGACUCCUCCAACUGUGGAAAUAUCAAAGUAUUUUAAAUUGUCUGUUGUUGCACAGUUAAAAGAAAAUAUUACCCAUCUUGUGCUGCUUGUUUGCAAGAUAGCAAUGAAACGUCACAACGUGUUGGAAUAUUUAGGAUCUGAACUACAAGAAAAUGUCUUCAGCUUUGAAAAUGUAGUAUUUGCAGCUGAUGAUGCCAACAUUACCUUUGGAGAAACUCUUUGUAGGUAUUAUUGGAAAGCAGGACUGAACUCACACACUGCGUAGGCAAUGCAAAAUACAAAAAGGUUACUAUUUGAGUUUGAAUGUUUUCGAUUUUUUUUUUAUUUUUUUUUUUUGUGAGAGAGAGAUAGGGGUGGUGGUCCUGUAUGGAGUCAGGAGUUAGACUUAAUAAUCUGUGUGGGUCCCUUCCAACUCAGGAUAUUGUAGGAUACUAGGGUCUUUUUUUUUCAUCUUCUUUCUUCAUUUAGCAAAUUUUUCAGACUCCCAGGAUUUACUUUCAUAGAUGUACAUUUUUACAGAUUUACAUUUAAUUUUCCAGAUUCAAUUUUUCAAACUGUAAAACGUGGAAGUGGCCACUGGACAUAGCUUUUUUUUAGACUCUGAUAUUGAAAGGAUGUUAAAAGAGUUUCACCUUAUUAGACAGUAUUGCUUUAUGUGCAUUGAGGCUUGCCCAGUCAUUAUUUUGCUUUUUACGUAGGAUGAUGGAAUUACGUUUUCAGGGAGCAAUGUAGUUUUCAUGUGUAUGAUUCACUUCAAACUCCUGGUCUUUCAUUUCUUUUCACACAGGGAAUUUCUUAUGUCUGUUCUUAUCUCACACGGGCUCUGGAAUUAACACUCCCCUGGAAGGGAUGCAGACGUGCUCAGUGGGGGUUCAAAUAACACUAAGAGACUAAUCAGACCUGACCCCGCCUGUACUGCAGAGUUUUAUGAAUUAGCUGAAAAAUAAAGGUGUAAGAUGUGUAAGAAAUUGUAAAUAA
RNAcentral lists this long non-coding RNA (1370 nucleotides) under Anser cygnoides (Swan goose). Its description in RNAcentral is "lncRNA (ENSACDG00005001946.1)". Lineage: Eukaryota; Metazoa; Chordata; Aves; Anseriformes; Anatidae. The record is from RNAcentral.